UGUUUGUUAUGUAAAAUUUUUUGUCUAUCCCUAAGAAAAGGUGGAUAAGUUUAAUAGCUUAAAAACUUUUUUUAGGAUGGCUAAAAGACUUUUUCUAAAUUAAACUUUUGUAUUCAUUUGUCUAAAUUUAAUAAAAAAUAAUUUAAAAACAACUUUUGACAAUGGAUCUCUUGGUUCUCGCAACGAUGAAGAACGCAGCAAAAUGCGAUAAGUAAUGUGAAUUGCAGAAUACGUGAAUCAUCAAAUCUUCGAACGCAUAUUGCACUUUUUUAGUUUACUAAAAAAGUAUGUCUGUUUGAGUAUCAGUAAAAUAUUCUCAUAAAAUCAUUUGAUUUUAUGGUUAUGAGUGUUUUACAACGAUAAACAAGUUGUUUCACUUUAAAUGGAUUUUAUUGAAAUCGUCGGUUGGGAACGAUUUAAUUUUUUAAAAAUUGGAUAAAAUUUUCCCGUAAAAAGGAAUAAGCUAUUUCAGUUUUUAGAAUUUUUAAUAGUCCAUACCGGUACAGAUAAAGGAAAUUUAUUUAUAAAUAACUUGAUCUCAAUCAGAUAAGAGUACCCGCUGAACUUAAGCAUAUCAAUAAGCGGAGGAAAAGAAACUAACAAGGAUUCCCUUAGUAACGGCGAGUGAAGCGGGAAGAGCUCAAAUUUGAAAUCUUCAAGGUUCUACCUUGACGAAUUGUAGUUUAAAGAAGUGUUUUCUGUUAGAGGAGUGGCAAAAGUUCUUUGGAAUAGGACAUCAUAGAGGGUGAGAAUCCCGUAUUUGGUCAUUCUUCUAGCUGUGUGAUACACUUUCAAAGAGUCGGAUUGUUUGGGAAUGCAGUCCAAAAUGGGUGGUAAAUUUCAUCUAAAGCUAAAUAUUGGCGAGAGACCGAUAGCGAACAAGUACCGUGAGGGAAAGAUGAAAAGAACUUUGAAAAGAGAGUUAAACAGUACGUGAAAUUGUCAAAAGGGAAGCGUUUGACACCAGUGUGUUUUUCGAAAAUCAAUUGUGCUGGCGGAUUUUGUAGGAGUUUGACCUUAUCAGCUUCUUCUGCUUUUUUCCGGUCUGGUGCAAUGCACUUUUCGGUUAACAAGUCAACAUCAAUUUCUUUUGUUGUAAAAGGGUAAUGGAAGGUGGCUUUCUUUUCGGAGAAAGUGUUUAUAGCCUUUUACCUCUACAAUCGGAGAGAUUGAGGUCUGCAGCGUAGAUCCUUCGGGGUUAGAUACAUUUGUGCUAAGUUAUAGCCCUGUAUAGACAACUUGUUGACUAUACUCGGUCAUGUAGCUUACUCGCUUAUGCUAUUUUACCUACGCUUAGAUGUUGA
RNAcentral lists this unclassified non-coding RNA (1304 nucleotides) under uncultured Neocallimastigales. RNAcentral's name for it is "partial contains internal transcribed spacer 1, 5.8S ribosomal RNA, internal transcribed spacer 2, and large subunit ribosomal RNA". The stretch from base 534 to 1304 matches the Rfam family "Eukaryotic large subunit ribosomal RNA", at positions 1 to 629 of the family's 3401-position model. Lineage: Eukaryota; Fungi; Neocallimastigomycota; Neocallimastigomycetes; Neocallimastigales. The record is from RNAcentral.